Molecule: ribosomal RNA, 81 nt
Filed under: Haemophilus haemolyticus
Lineage: Bacteria; Pseudomonadati; Pseudomonadota; Gammaproteobacteria; Pasteurellales; Pasteurellaceae
Description: partial 23S ribosomal RNA
Source: RNAcentral
UAGGCAGGGUGUGUAAGUGAUGUGAGUCAUUGAGCUAACCUGUACUAAUUGCCCGAGAGGCUUAACUAUACAACGCUCAAG